Molecule: ribosomal RNA, 481 nt
Filed under: uncultured bacterium
Lineage: Bacteria
Description: partial 16S ribosomal RNA
Rfam family: Bacterial small subunit ribosomal RNA
Source: RNAcentral
GAUGAACGCUGGCGGCGUGCUUAACACAUGCAAGUCGAACGAAGCACUUUAUUUGAUUUCCUUCGGGACUGAUUAUUUUGUGACUGAGUGGCGGACGGGUGAGUAACGCGUGGGUAACCUGCCUUGUACAGGGGGAUAACAGUUGGAAACGGCUGCCAAUACCGCAUAAGCGCACGGCAUCGCAUGAUGCAGUGUGAAAAACUCCGGUGGUAUAAGAUGGACCCGCGUUGGAUUAGCUAGUUGGUGAGGUAACGGCCCACCAAGGCGACGAUCCAUAGCCGACCUGAGAGGGUGACCGGCCACAUUGGGACUGAGACACGGCCCAAACUCCUACGGGAGGCAGCAGUGGGGAAUAUUGCACAAUGGGCGAAAGCCUGAUGCAGCGACGCCGCGUGAGCGAAGAAGUAUUUCGGUAUGUAAAGCUCUAUCAGCAGGGAAGAUAAUGACGGUACCUGACUAAGAAGCACCGGCUAAAUACGUG